UCGCAGGUCUUUCAACAAGAGGUUCUUGUGCUUCGUUAAAUCCGCAUUUAAGCCCUUGAGCUCGUCUUUCAGACCAUGUAAAAUCUUGUUUUCUUCCUUGAGCUCGGCAACCUCAGCCUCGAGCACCGACACUUUUUCCAUCCCAACAAGUGCACUUUUCUCCUUAGCCUCUACCCUCUCCUUCACAACUCUUCCAGUUAUUGCACUCUGUACAAAAAAAGCAUGUCAAUUAACUAAAAAACACCAUAAAAAACAACGUAAGACACUCACUCAUACCUUUUGCCCGAGGGUAGCAACCAUCUGCGCAAGCUCUCUAUCCCGCAAGUGCUUAACAACUCCCUCAAAUUCUGCAUAAAAGCGAGUGUCAAGACUAAGCCAAAAAAUUGCAUAACUGGAAGGAAAUGUGGAAGUAAAAGGCUUACCCUCAGGAUUAAACCUCUCUUCAACCAGAGUCUCAGCUCCUACACCCUUUCCAACCUCCACAAUAGUCCCAGCCCCACCUUUCACUUUUCCGCCAACUUGACUGGCCUCGACACUACUCCCUGCUACCCCACCUGCGCCACCCUUAGCCCUCUCAGCCUGAACCCCC
This 589-nucleotide long non-coding RNA is filed under the name Setaria viridis. Its description in RNAcentral is "long non-coding RNA (SVIR_LNC004629)". The record is from RNAcentral. Lineage: Eukaryota; Viridiplantae; Streptophyta; Magnoliopsida; Poales; Poaceae.